Molecule: ribosomal RNA, 373 nt
Filed under: uncultured organism
Description: partial 16S ribosomal RNA
Rfam family: Bacterial small subunit ribosomal RNA
Source: RNAcentral
GUAGGUGGCAAGCGUUGUCCGGGAAUUAUUGGGCGUAAAGCGCGCGCAGGCGGUUCUUUAAGUCUGAUGUGAAAGCCCACGGCUCAACCGUGGAGGGUCAUUGGAAACUGGAGAACUUGAGUACAGAGGAGGAAAGCGGAAUUCCACGUGUAGCGGUGAAAUGCGUAGAGAUGUGGAGGAACACCAGUGGCGAAGGCGGCUUUCUGGUCUGUAACUGACGCUGAGGCGCGAAAGAGUGGGGAGCAAACAGGAUUAGAUACCCUGGUAGUCCACGCCGUAAACGAUGAGUGCUAAGUGUUAGGGGGUUUCCGCCCCUUAGUGCUGCAGCUAACGCAUUAAGCACUCCGCCUGGGGAGUACGGCCGCAAAGGCUG